GUCUAUGGCCAUGCCACCUUGAACAAGCCCAAUUCUGUCUGAUCUCGAAAGCUAAGCAGGGUUGGGCCAACUUAGUACUUGGAUAGGAGACCAACUAGAAAGACCAGGUGCUGUAGGCG
This 119-nucleotide ribosomal RNA is filed under the name Pteropus alecto (black flying fox). The record is from RNAcentral. Lineage: Eukaryota; Metazoa; Chordata; Mammalia; Chiroptera; Pteropodidae.